This 354-nucleotide RNase P RNA is filed under the name Spirochaetota bacterium. RNAcentral describes it as "Spirochaetes bacterium RNase P RNA component class A". It matches the Rfam family "Bacterial RNase P class A". From Rfam's summary of the family: Ribonuclease P (RNase P) is a ubiquitous endoribonuclease, found in archaea, bacteria and eukarya as well as chloroplasts and mitochondria. Its best characterised activity is the generation of mature 5'-ends of tRNAs by cleaving the 5'-leader elements of precursor-tRNAs. The record is from RNAcentral. Lineage: Bacteria; Pseudomonadati; Spirochaetota.
ACAGCAGGCCGGAUAACCGCUGGUUUUUAUAUCAGAGGAAAGUCCGGGCUCCGCAGAACAUGAUGCCGGGUAACUCCCGGGGGUACAUAAGUAUUACAGACAGUGCCGCAGAAAACAAACCGCCGGUUAUAAAACUCAGGUUUUAUAACCGGUAAGGGUGAAAAGGCGGGGUAAAAGCCCACCGCUCUCCCGGUAACGGGAGGGGCAUGGUAAACCUCAUCAGGAGCAAGGUUAAACAGCAGUCAUGGUUGUUCGCCUCACGGCUGCGGGUAAACCGCUUGAGUUAUAUGGAGACAUAUAACCUAGAUAGAUGGUUAUCGAUAACAGAACCCGGCUUACAGGCCUGCUGCUAUU